CCCUUAGAUGUCCGGGGCCGCACGCGCGCUACACUGAAGGAAUCAGCGUGGCUUUCUCCCUGACCCGAAAGGGUUGGGAAACCCGUUGAAUCUCCUUCGUGAUAGGGAUUGGGGCAUGAAAUUGUUCCCCAUGAACGAGGAAUUCCCAGUAAGCGCGAGUCAUAAGCUCGCGUUGAUUACGUCCCUGCCCUUUGUACACACCGCCCGUCGCUACUACCGAUUGAACGGUUUAGUGAGGGCCUCGGAUUGGUCUCGGCCCGCUCUUUACCGGGCGGCGCCGUUGGUCGAGAAGACGCUCGAACUUGAUCGUUUAGAGGAAGUAAAAGUCGUAACA
Molecule: ribosomal RNA, 334 nt
Filed under: uncultured eukaryote
Lineage: Eukaryota
Description: partial 18S ribosomal RNA
Rfam family: Eukaryotic small subunit ribosomal RNA
Source: RNAcentral